UGGGGAAUAUUGCACAAUGGGCGCAAGCCUGAUGCAGCAACGCCGCGUGAGGGACGACGGCCUUCGGGUUGUAAACCUCUUUUAGUAGGGAAGAAGCGAAAGUGACGGUACCUGCAGAAAAAGCACCGGCUAACUACGUGCCAGCAGCCGCGGUAAUACGUAGGGUGCGAGCGUUGUCCGGAAUUAUUGGGCGUAAAGAGCUCGUAGGCGGUCUGUCGCGUCUGCUGUGAAAACCCGAGGCUCAACCUCGGGCCUGCAGUGGGUACGGGCAGACUAGAGUGCGGUAGGGGAGAAUGGAAUUCCUGGUGUAGCGGUGGAAUGCGCAGAUAUCAGGAGGAACACCGAUGGCGAAGGCAGUUCUCUGGGCCGUAACUGACGCUGAGGAGCGAAAGCGUGGGGAGCGAACAGGAUUAGAUACCCUGGUAGUCCACACCGUAAACGUUGGGCGCUAGAUGUGGGGACCAUUCCACGGUUUCCGUGUCGCAGCUAACGCAUUAAGCGCCCCGCCUGGGGAGUACGGCCGCAAGGCU
This 530-nucleotide ribosomal RNA is filed under the name uncultured bacterium. RNAcentral describes it as "partial 16S ribosomal RNA". It matches the Rfam family "Bacterial small subunit ribosomal RNA", at positions 355 to 895 of the family's 1533-position model. The record is from RNAcentral.